RNAcentral lists this ribosomal RNA (473 nucleotides) under uncultured bacterium. RNAcentral describes it as "bacterial SSU rRNA". It matches the Rfam family "Bacterial small subunit ribosomal RNA", at positions 335 to 799 of the family's 1533-position model. The record is from RNAcentral.
ACUCCUACGGGAGGCAGCAGUGGGGAAUAUUGCACAAUGGGCGCAAGCCUGAUGCAGCCAUGCCGCGUGUAUGAAGAAGGCCUUCGGGUUGUAAAGUACUUUCAGCAGUGAGGAAGGUGGUAGUGUUAAUAGCACUAUCAUUUGACGUUAGCUGCAGAAGAAGCACCGGCUAACUCCGUGCCAGCAGCCGCGGUAAUACGGAGGGUGCGAGCGUUAAUCGGAAUUACUGGGCGUAAAGCGCAUGCAGGUGGUUUGUUAAGUCAGAUGUGAAAGCCCGGGGCUCAACCUCGGAAUUGCAUUUGAAACUGGCAGACUAGAGUACUGGUAGAGGGGGGUAGAAUUUCAGGUGUAGCGGUGAAAUGCGUAGAGAUCUGAAGGAAUACCGGUGCGAAGGCGGCCCCCUGGACAGAUACUGACACUCAGAUGCGAAAGCGUGGGGAGCAAACAGGAUUAGAUACCCUGGUAGGAUAGCG